GCCGCUUCGGCCCCCGAGCCUCCCUGAGCUCGCUGCCUGGGCGGUCUAGUUCCCCACCAAGAAGGCGCUUUGUGCAGGAGCCACUAGGCUCCCACCGGCGUCCUCCCCUUCCUAGAGACAGAGGACAUCUUGCCUCGCUAAGUCCCCCGGGUCCUUGGUGAGGAAGGCUGGGCCACAUGUGCCCGGGUACAGACACAUGGUGAGGGUGUACUGGGGGAUGUAGGGGUGCGGUACCGCGCCUUCAGAGUAUGUGCGUGGGUUGGAGAACAAAGCGUGCGUAAGUUGGGUCCCUGCCUGGGUCUAGAGGAAACUUCCUGCCCAGUGCAAGACGGACGCAGAGCUGGAGGAGUGGUGAGUCCGCCUGGCACGAAUUCACUGGGAUCAGGGAUUCCUCAUUCGAAGCUGGGACCUGUCCCGGGCCUGCUGCUCUCCUCUUCACCUUCAGUCUCCACCUGCGGCCUCACUGUGAUCUCAACCCGCCAAUACCCCAGGAGCCCAGAUAAUUUCUUUCGACUCUUUACUUCCUCUCUUUUUUGUGCCUGGGAUCCUGACCUCGGCACCAGCCUGUUUGGGAGUGACCCGCUAUCCCACCCGCUGCUAGGGAAGGAUUGACAUUUUAAGAUGUGAUGGUAUUGGAUUUUGGUAUUUUUACAAUAUGUGCAACCAUCACUACUGUCAAUUUUAGAACAUUUUCAUCACCUCAAAAAGAAAUCUCGAUCCCCCAGCCUUCUAUCUCCUCAAACCCCCAGCCCUAAGCAACCACUAAUCUACUCUCUGUCUCUAUGGAUUUCCCUAUCCUGGAUACUUCAUAUAAAUGGAAUCAUAUCAUCUGUGGUUUUCGUGCCUAGCUUCUUUUAUUAGCAUAAUGUUUCAAAUUUCAUCCAUGUUGUAGCGUGUAUCAGUACUUCAUUUCUUUUUCUGACUGAAGAAUAUUUCAUUGUAUGAUUAGCUCACUUUUUG
RNAcentral lists this long non-coding RNA (960 nucleotides) under Homo sapiens (human). RNAcentral's name for it is "HSALNT0033825". The record is from RNAcentral. Lineage: Eukaryota; Metazoa; Chordata; Mammalia; Primates; Hominidae.